This 807-nucleotide ribosomal RNA is filed under the name bacterium. RNAcentral describes it as "bacterial SSU rRNA". It matches the Rfam family "Bacterial small subunit ribosomal RNA", at positions 41 to 845 of the family's 1533-position model. The record is from RNAcentral.
GGCAGGCCUAACACAUGCAAGUCGAGCGGUAACAGAGAGUAGCUUGCUACUUGCUGACGAGCGGCGGACGGGUGAGUAAUGCUUGGGAACAUGCCUUGAGGUGGGGGACAACAGUUGGAAACGACUGCUAAUACCGCAUAAUGUCUACGGACCAAAGGGGGCUUCGGCUCUCGCCUUUAGAUUGGCCCAAGUGGGAUUAGCUAGUUGGUGAGGUAAUGGCUCACCAAGGCGACGAUCCCUAGCUGGUUUGAGAGGAUGAUCAGCCACACUGGGACUGAGACACGGCCCAGACUCCUACGGGAGGCAGCAGUGGGGAAUAUUGCACAAUGGGCGCAAGCCUGAUGCAGCCAUGCCGCGUGUGUGAAGAAGGCCUUCGGGUUGUAAAGCACUUUCAGUCAGGAGGAAAGGUUAGUAGUUAAUACCUGCUAGCUGUGACGUUACUGACAGAAGAAGCACCGGCUAACUCCGUGCCAGCAGCCGCGGUAAUACGGAGGGUGCGAGCGUUAAUCGGAAUUACUGGGCGUAAAGCGUACGCAGGCGGUUUGUUAAGCGAGAUGUGAAAGCCCUGGGCUCAACCUGGGAAUUGCAUUUCGAACUGGCAAACUAGAGUGUGAUAGAGGGUGGUAGAAUUUCAGGUGUAGCGGUGAAAUGCGUAGAGAUCUGAAGGAAUACCGAUGGCGAAGGCAGCCACCUGGGUCAACACUGACGCUCAUGUACGAAAGCGUGGGGAGCAAACGGGAUUAGAUACCCCGGUAGUCCACGCCGUAAACGAUGUCUACUAGAAGCUCGGGUCCUCGGACUUGUUUU